UGCAUAGAAAGUGCUGGGUGAACAUUGA
RNAcentral lists this non-coding RNA (28 nucleotides) under Homo sapiens (human). The record is from RNAcentral. Lineage: Eukaryota; Metazoa; Chordata; Mammalia; Primates; Hominidae.